RNAcentral lists this ribosomal RNA (1509 nucleotides) under uncultured bacterium. RNAcentral describes it as "bacterial SSU rRNA". It matches the Rfam family "Bacterial small subunit ribosomal RNA". The record is from RNAcentral.
AUUGAACGCUGGCGGCAUGCCUUACACCGUAUGCAAGUCGAACGGCAGCGCGGUCGGGGUAACCUGACUGGCGGCGAGUGGCGAACGGGUGAGUAAUAUAUCGGAACGUGCCCAAGAGUGGCGCGGGAUAACUAGUCGAAAGAUUAGCUAAUACCGCAUACGAUCUAAGGAUGAAAGUGGGGGACUCGCAAGGGCCUCAUGCUCCUGGAGCGGCCUAGGAUAACUGAUUAGCUAGUUGGUGGGGUAAAGGCCUACCAAGGCGAUGAUCAGUAGCUGGUCUGAGAGGACGACCAGCCACACUGGAACUGAUCCGACACGGUCCAGACUCCUACGGGAGGCAGCAGUGGGGAAUUUUGGACAAUGGGGGCAACCCUGAUCCAGCAAUGCCGCGUGAGUGAAGAAGAACGCCUUCGGGUUGUAAAGCUCUUUUGUUGGGGAAGAAACGGUGGGGGCUAAUACUCUCUACUAAUGACGGUACCCAAAGAAUAAGCACCGGCCGAUAACUACGUGCCAGCAGCCGCGGUAAUACGUAGGGUGCAAGCGUUAAUCGGAAUUACUGGGCGUAAAGCGUGCGCAGGCGGUUUUGUAAGAAGUCUGUCGUGAAAUCCCCGGGCUCAACCUGGGAAUGGCGAUGGUGACUGCAAGGCUAGAGUUUGGCAGAGGGGGGUAGAAUUCCACGUGUAGCUCGAGUGAAAUGCGUAGAUAUGUGGAGGAACACCGAUGGCGAAGGCAGCCCCCUGGGUCAAAACUGACGCUCAUGCACGAAAGCGUGGGGAGCAUCGAACAGGAUUAGAUACCCUGGUAGUCCACGCCCUAAACGAUGUCAACUAGUUGUUGGGGAUUCAUUUCCUUAGUAACGUAGCUAACGCGUGAAUCAGUUGACCGCCUGGGGAGUACGGUCGCAAGAUUAAAACUCAAAGGAAUUGACGGGGACCCGCACAAGCGGUGGAUGAUGUGGAUUAAUUCGUGCAUGCAACGCGAAAAACCUUACCUACCCUUGACAUGGUCGGAAUCCUGCUGAGAGGCGGGAGUGCUCGAAAGAGAACCGGCGCACAGGUGCUCGUGCAUGGCUGUCGUCAGCUCGUGUCGUGAGAUGUUGGGUUAAGUCCCGCAACGAGCGCAACCCUUGUCCUUAGUUGCUACGCAAGAGCACUCUUCUAAGGAGACUGCCGGUGACAAACCGGAGGAAGGUGGGGAUGACGUCAAGUCCUCAUGGCCCUUAUGGGUAGGGCUUCACACGUCAUACAAUUGGGGUCGGAACAGAGGGUUGCCAACCCGCGAGGGGGAGCUAAUCCCAGAAAACCGAUCGUAGUCCGGAUUGCACUCUGCAACUCGAGUGCAUGUCGAGGCUGGAAUCGCUAGUAAUCGCGGAUCAGCAUGCCGCGGUGAAUACGUUCCCGGGUCUUGUACACACCGCCCGUCACACCAUGGGAGUGGAGUGUUUUACCAGAAGUGGCUAGUCUAACCGCAAGGAGGACGGUCACCACGGUAGGAUUCAUGACUGGGGUG